RNAcentral lists this unclassified non-coding RNA (136 nucleotides) under uncultured fungus. RNAcentral describes it as "sequence contains ITS1, 5.8S rRNA gene". The record is from RNAcentral. Lineage: Eukaryota; Fungi.
UCGAGAAAGGGUCUCCGGGCCCGACCUCCCAUCCUGUGUCUACCCGACCUCUGUUGCCUCGGCGGUCUCGCCCGUCGAGGACACCUACCAAACUCUUGAUGAAUUGUGUGUCUGAGCGUGAAAUUAAAUAAGCACA